UACCCGGUGGUGUAAUUGGCAACACAGAGGUUUUUGGUACCUCUAUUUCUGGUUCGAGUCCAGACCGGGUAG
This is a non-coding RNA of Planctomycetes bacterium GWC2_45_44, 72 nucleotides long. Lineage: Bacteria; Pseudomonadati; Planctomycetota. The record is from Rfam.